CUGGCAGUCGGACGGGAUCCAUCGGAGAGCUUGCUCGAAGAUGGUGAGAGUGGCGCACGGGUGCGUAACGCGUGAGCAACCUACCUCUAUCAGGGGGAUAGCCUCUCGAAAGAGAGAUUAACACCGCAUAACAUCAACAGUUCGCAUGUUCAGUUGAUUAAAUAUUUAUAGGAUAGAGAUGGGCUCGCGUGACAUUAGCUAGUUGGUAGGGUAACGGCUUACCAAGGCGACGAUGUCUAGGGGCUCUGAGAGGAGAAUCCCCCACACUGGUACUGAGACACGGACCAGACUCCUACGGGAGGCAGCAGUAAGGAAUAUUGGUCAAUGGGCGGAAGCCUGAACCAGCCAUGCCGCGUGCAGGAAGACUGCCCUAUGGGUUGUAAACUGCUUUUGUCCAGGAAUAAACCUAUAUACGUGUAUAUAGCUGAAUGUACUGGAAGAAUAAGGAUCGGCUAACUCCGUGCCAGCAGCCGCGGUAAUACGGAGGAUCCGAGCGUUAUCCGGAUUUAUUGGGUUUAAAGGGUGCGUAGGCGGCCUAUUAAGUCAGGGGUGAAAUACGGUGGCUCAACCAUCGCAGUGCCUUUGAUACUGAUGGGCUUGAAUCCAUUUGAAGUGGGCGGAAUAAGACAAGUAGCGGUGAAAUGCAUAGAUAUGUCUUAGAACUCCGAUUGCGAAGGCAGCUCACUAAGCUGGUAUUGACGCUGAUGCACGAAAGCGUGGGGGAUCGAACAGGAUUAGAUACCCUGGUAGUCCACGCCCCUAAACGAUGAUAACUCGAUGUUGGGCGAUAGACAGCCCGCGGUCCAAACGAAAGCGUUUAAGUUAUCCACCCUGGGGGAGUACGCCCCCCAAGGGGUGAA
This 860-nucleotide ribosomal RNA is filed under the name Sphingobacterium sp. AR126. RNAcentral's name for it is "bacterial SSU rRNA". It matches the Rfam family "Bacterial small subunit ribosomal RNA", at positions 55 to 898 of the family's 1533-position model. The record is from RNAcentral. Lineage: Bacteria; Pseudomonadati; Bacteroidota; Sphingobacteriia; Sphingobacteriales; Sphingobacteriaceae.